RNAcentral lists this ribosomal RNA (735 nucleotides) under fungal sp. Its description in RNAcentral is "eukaryotic LSU rRNA". The stretch from base 511 to 735 matches the Rfam family "Eukaryotic large subunit ribosomal RNA", at positions 1 to 225 of the family's 3401-position model. The record is from RNAcentral. Lineage: Eukaryota; Fungi.
GACCUGCGGAGGAUCAUUACUGAGUGAGGGCCCUCUGGGUCCAACCUCCCACCCGUGUUUAUUGUACCUUGUUGCUUCGGUGCGCCCGCCUCACGGCCGCCGGGGGGCUUCUGCCCCCGGGUCCGCGCGCACCGGAGACACUAUUGAACUCUGUCUGAAGAUUGCAGUCUGAGCAUAAACUAAAUAAGUUAAAACUUUCAACAACGGAUCUCUUGGUUCCGGCAUCGAUGAAGAACGCAGCGAAAUGCGAUAACUAAUGUGAAUUGCAGAAUUCAGUGAAUCAUCGAGUCUUUGAACGCACAUUGCGCCCCCUGGUAUUCCGGGGGGCAUGCCUGUCCGAGCGUCAUUGCUGCCCUCAAGCACGGCUUGUGUGUUGGGCUCCGUCCCCCCGGGGACGGGUCCGAAAGGCAGCGGCGGCACCGAGUCCGGUCCUCGAGCGUAUGGGGCUUUGUCACCCGCUCUGUAGGCCCGGCCGGCGCCAGCCGACAACCAAUCAUCCUUUUUUCAGGUUGACCUCGGAUCAGGUAGGGAUACCCGCUGAACUUAAGCAUAUCAAUAAGCGGAGGAAAAGAAACCAACAGGGAUUACCUCAGUAACGGCGAGUGAAGCGGUAAGAGCUCAAAUUUGAAAGCUGGCUCCUUCGGGGUCCGCAUUGUAAUUUGCAGAGGAUGUUUCGGGAGCAGCCCCCAUCUAAGUGUCCUGGAACGGACCGUCAUAGAGGGUGAGAAUCCCGUA